GCGACAAGUAUUUCAAGCUGUUUUUCAGGCGGCGUGCCUCCAGAAAGGGAGACGUCUCUCCGGGCCUUAGGAGAGUCCAACAGCAUUCUGUCUAUCCGUAGCGACUCCACUUUUUCCCUUGGCUUCCUUGGAGAGUUCUCCUGUUUGUUUAGCUUUCUCGGCAAAAUACGGGCCUGCCUUUCCAUCUGUGCCCAGUCUGAGUGAGCUGAACUACAGUCGGUGUCACACACAAGAAGUUGCUGAAUUAUUAAGAGCUCCAGAUUUCUGAGAGACGCAUCCGUUGUCGGCCCAUCUGUCGGGAUAGUGCACGCGCGUACGGCGGAGUGUACCUCACGCGCUCGCUGACAAUCUGUCGCAGAUCAAGUUCGUCGAACAAGACGCUUCUGGUCGCCAUCGCGGAGUCUGAUUCUACCGCCAGAGCGAGCGAGUGCACGCGUUGCUCCAAUCUGGGACCUAAAAUGAGACAAAUGGUCCGGAGUGACGGGGAACAUCAAGGAAUCAAUUCCAGAUCAAGUAUCUGAAAAGUGAGCGAUUGUCACGUACGGCAUAUAAAGCCCUUCCGUGGUUCAGACGCAGCUUUCGGCGAAACCAAAGUAAGAGGAAUCUUCCAAGAACCCCACGUUUCUGUUUUCCCAGCAAACUCUACUCCGUGCUUUUGCUGUGUGAGCGCAGAGCUUGAAACAAUGAGCCGCAAUGUCCCUCAGCCCAAAAACUCGCCACGCCGAUAUAUUUC
This 733-nucleotide long non-coding RNA is filed under the name Scleropages formosus (Asian bonytongue). RNAcentral describes it as "lncRNA (ENSSFOG00015030122.1)". The record is from RNAcentral. Lineage: Eukaryota; Metazoa; Chordata; Actinopteri; Osteoglossiformes; Osteoglossidae.